Molecule: ribosomal RNA, 305 nt
Filed under: uncultured bacterium
Lineage: Bacteria
Description: bacterial SSU rRNA
Rfam family: Bacterial small subunit ribosomal RNA
Source: RNAcentral
GGUUUCCUACGGGGCGCAGCAGUAGGGAAUUUUCGUCAAUGGGCGCAAGCCUGAACGAGCAAUGCCGCGUGAACGAGGAAGGUCUUCGGAUCGUAAAGUUCUGUUGAAGGGGAAAAAGAGCGGAGAGAGGAAAUGCUUUCUGAUUGAUAUUACCCUUCGAGGAAGUCACGGCUAACUACGUGCCAGCAGCCGCGGUAAUACGUAGGUGGCGAGCGUUAUCCGGAAUGAUUGGGCGUAAAGGGUGCGUAGGCGGACCAUCAAGUCAGCGGUAAAAUCGUGGGGCCCAACCCCAUCCCGCCGUUGAA